RNAcentral lists this ribosomal RNA (386 nucleotides) under uncultured Comamonadaceae bacterium. Its description in RNAcentral is "bacterial SSU rRNA". It matches the Rfam family "Bacterial small subunit ribosomal RNA", at positions 992 to 1382 of the family's 1533-position model. The record is from RNAcentral. Lineage: Bacteria; Pseudomonadati; Pseudomonadota; Betaproteobacteria; Burkholderiales; Comamonadaceae.
GGAAUUCUGAAGAGAGUUGGGAGUGCUCGAAAGAGAACCUGCACACAGGUGCUGCAUGGCUGUCGUCAGCUCGUGUCGUGAGAUGUUCGGGUUAAGUCCCGCAACGAGCGCAACCCUUGCCAUUAGUUGCUACGAAAGGGCACUCUAAUGGGACUGCCGGUGACAAACCGGAGGAAGUGGGGAUGACGUCAAGUCCUCAUGGCCCUUAUAGGUGGGGCUACACACGUCAUACAAUGGCUGGUACAAAGGGUUGCCAACCCGCGAGGGGGAGCUAAUCCCAUAAAGCCAGUCGUAGUCCGGAUCGUAGUCUGCAACUCGACUACGUGAAGUCGGAAUCGCUAGUAAUCGUGGAUCAGAAUGUCACGGUGAAUACGUUCCCGGGUCUU